AGAGCGAACGCUGGCGGCAGGCCUAACACAUGCAAGUCGAGCGCCCCGCAAGGGGAGCGGCAGACGGGAGAGUAACACGUGGGAACGUACCCUUCAGUUCGGAACAACCCAGGGAAACUUGGGCUAAUACCGAAUACGUCCGUAAGGAGAAAGAUUUAUCGCUGAAGGAUCGGCCCGCGUCUGAUUAGCUUGUUGGUGAGGUAACGGCUCACCAAGGCGACGAUCAGUAGCUGGUCUGAGAGGAUGAUCAGCCUCACUGGGACUGAGACACGGCCCAGACUCCUACGGGAGGCAGCAGUGGGGAAUAUUGGACAAUGGGCGCAAGCCUGAUCCAGCCAUGCCGCGUGGGUGAUGAAGGCCCUAGGGUUGUAAAGCCCUUUCGGCGGGAAGAUAAUGACGGUACCCGCAGAAGAAGCCCGGCUAACUUCGUGCCAGCAGCCGC
Molecule: ribosomal RNA, 442 nt
Filed under: uncultured bacterium
Lineage: Bacteria
Description: SSU rRNA
Rfam family: Bacterial small subunit ribosomal RNA
Source: RNAcentral